AUACAGAGGGUGCGAGCGUUAAUCGGAAUUACUGGGCGUAAAGCGCGCGUAGGCGGCUUAUUAAGUCAGAUGUGAAAUCCCCGGGCUCAACCUGGGAACUGCAUCUGAUACUGGUAAGCUAGAGUUUUGGAGAGGGAAGUAGAAUUUCAGGUGUAGCGGUGAAAUGCAUAGAGAUCUGAAGGAAUACCAGUGGCGAAGGCGACUUCCUGGCCAAAAACUGACGCUGAGGUGCGAAAGCGUGGGUAGCAAACGGGAUUAGAUAACCUAGUAGUCC
Molecule: ribosomal RNA, 274 nt
Filed under: uncultured bacterium
Lineage: Bacteria
Description: partial 16S ribosomal RNA
Rfam family: Bacterial small subunit ribosomal RNA
Source: RNAcentral